Daucus carota subsp. sativus is the source of this 475-nucleotide long non-coding RNA. RefSeq lists it as uncharacterized. The transcript has 4 exons. Lineage: Eukaryota; Viridiplantae; Streptophyta; Magnoliopsida; Apiales; Apiaceae. The record is from RefSeq and is a predicted model, not a curated record.
UAUUUUAAAAUCGUCCUCUGUUAGAAUUCUACUCCUAACCGUCAACAGAGUUUGGUCUGUACAGAACUAACUGCUACACGUAACAACCGGGUAAUUACAGCACCGUGCGAGAGCAACAGCUGCCGCUGCUUCUUCCGUUGCCCUGCUUGCUUACUUUCUCUGUAAAUUAUACAAUUCCAAUUACUCCUCUGCUUCUUCUUCUUCUAAAAAUAAACUUAAAAAUGGAUUAAUUGAAGCUAUUGGAAACACUCCUCUCAUUAGAAUCAACAGCCUUUCUCAAGCCACUGGAUGUCAGAUUCUUGGGAAAGUUGAGUUUUUAAAUCCUGGUGGAAGUAUCGAAGACAGGGUUGCUGUCAAAAUCAUCCAGGAGACCUAAAAAUGAACAAGUUGCUCUUAAGGCCAAAUUGUCUGGCACUCCUUUGCUUUUGGAAGCUGGGAUCAACUGUUGCAAGACUAAUAGCAGAGCUCUCAGCAC